RNAcentral lists this ribosomal RNA (808 nucleotides) under Agrococcus jenensis. Its description in RNAcentral is "bacterial SSU rRNA". It matches the Rfam family "Bacterial small subunit ribosomal RNA", at positions 67 to 884 of the family's 1533-position model. Lineage: Bacteria; Bacillati; Actinomycetota; Actinomycetes; Micrococcales; Microbacteriaceae. The record is from RNAcentral.
CGAUGAUGGAGGAGCUUGCUCCUCCGGAUUAGUGGCGAACGGGUGAGUAAUACGUGAGCAAUGUGCCCUUGACUCUGGGAUAAGCGCUGGAAACGGCGUCUAAUACCGGAUACGACGAUCGGAGGCAUCUCCUGGUCGUGGAAAGAACUUCGGUCAAGGAUCAGCUCACGGCCUAUCAGCUUGUUGGUGAGGUAACGGCUCACCAAGGCGACGACGGGUAGCCGGCCUGAGAGGGUGACCGGCCACACUGGGACUGAGACACGGCCCAGACUCCUACGGGAGGCAGCAGUGGGGAAUAUUGCACAAUGGGCGCAAGCCUGAUGCAGCAACGCCGCGUGAGGGACGAAGGCCUUCGGGUUGUAAACCUCUUUUAGCAGGGAAGAAGCGAAAGUGACGGUACCUGCAGAAAAAGCACCGGCUAACUACGUGCCAGCAGCCGCGGUAAUACGUAGGGUGCAAGCGUUGUCCGGAAUUAUUGGGCGUAAAGAGCUCGUAGGCGGUUUGUCGCGUCUGCUGUGAAAACCCGAGGCUCAACCUCGGGCUUGCAGUGGGUACGGGCAGACUAGAGUGCGGUAGGGGAGAUUGGAAUUCCUGGUGUAGCGGUGGAAUGCGCAGAUAUCAGGAGGAACACCGAUGGCGAAGGCAGAUCUCUGGGCCGUAACUGACGCUGAGGAGCGAAAGCAUGGGGAGCAAACAGGCUUAGAUACCCUGGUAGUCCAUGCCGUAAACGUUGGGAACUAGAUGUGGGGACCAUUCCACGGUCUCCGUGUCGUAGCUAACGCAUUAAGUUCCCCGCCUGGGGAGUACG